AACAAUACAAGAGACGUAUUGACUUUAUAUAGACGAUUUAUAGAAAUAAAUUAUUGUCUACUUUUGAAUUAAUUGUACGUAUAUACUUGUUUUACAUUCAUAAUAUAAAAUAACCUAACACAUUUUUUUUUAUAUUUUAUUGUAUUUUAAAUACACAAUCGUCCCUUACACUUUUCUUAGUUCAGUGAUUCUAAGUGACUGUUUUUUCAUUUAUUAUUGUUUACCUCUGUCUUAUCUGUCAUAUUUUAUCAAUAUAUUUACUUU
Non-coding RNA from Cinara cedri, 264 nucleotides. NCBI's taxonomy places the organism in Eukaryota, Metazoa, Arthropoda, Insecta, Hemiptera, Aphididae. The record is from the annotation of a GenBank genome assembly.